GAUCAUGGCUCAGAUUGAACGCUGGCGGAAUGCUUUACACAUGCAAGUCGAACGGCAGCACGGAGAGCUUGCUCUCUGGUGGCGAGUGGCGAACGGGUGAGUAAUAUAUCGGAACGUGUCCAAUAAUGGGGGAUAACGAGUCGAAAGAUUCGCUAAUACCGCAUACGCCCUACGGGGGAAAGCAGGGGAUCGUAAGACCUUGCGUUAAUGGAGCGGCCGAUAUCUGAUUAGCUUGUUGGUGAGGUAAAGGCUCACCAAGGCGACGAUCAGUAGCUGGUUUGAGAGAACGACCAGCCACACUGGAACUGAGACACGGUCCAGACUCCUACGGGAGGCAGCAGUGGGGAAUUUUGGACAAUGGGCGCAAGCCUGAUCCAGCAAUGCCGCGUGCAGGAAGAAGGCCUUCGGGUUGUAAACUGCUUUUGUACGGAACGAAACGGUCUGGGCUAAUACCCCGGGCUAAUGACGGUACCGUAAGAAUAAGCACCGGCUAACUACGUG
This 501-nucleotide ribosomal RNA is filed under the name uncultured bacterium. RNAcentral's name for it is "bacterial SSU rRNA". It matches the Rfam family "Bacterial small subunit ribosomal RNA", at positions 15 to 507 of the family's 1533-position model. The record is from RNAcentral.